GGAAGGGCUGGGUGGUUGUCGCUCUCAUCCCUGUCUCGAUUCCUAGGAAAUGCUCAGCUGUUUUCCUGGAGAGUUGACUUUGGUCCCUUGUUCUCUACAAAGUCAAAGAGAGGUUACCAGGGCACUCAUCAGUUCGGACUUGACCAACCUCUCUGAGACUCCAAGCCAGAAGGUGACUGGUACCUUGGUGGCCCACCAGGUACAUAAUUCCAGCAAGAGACCCGAAACAAGAUGUACAAAAUGUCUCCCACUCCGUGAGGCUCCUGGUGGUGAACAUCCAGUCCUGGUCAUCCUCAUGCUCGCCACCCUCACAUGA
Molecule: long non-coding RNA, 316 nt
Filed under: Ictidomys tridecemlineatus (thirteen-lined ground squirrel)
Lineage: Eukaryota; Metazoa; Chordata; Mammalia; Rodentia; Sciuridae
Description: lncRNA (ENSSTOG00000034394.1)
Source: RNAcentral